CAGUUAGCUUGUUGUAGUUAGCAUGUGUUGUCUUAUAGUCCCUCUUGAAAGACAUUGGAAUCUUCAAAAACAGCCUCAGCCUACGGUCCAUUAGGAAGACAGUUUUUUAAUAUUUGACUAAAAAACAUACGGCAGUUUCCACUUGUCCUGGUCAUUAUCAACUUUAGUUUUUUUUUUGCAGUUGACAUUUUAGAAACCAUUUUAGAAACUAGAAAUGUCACAGGACUGUGUUUCGGUGUUGCCACAGGUUUACAACGGCUCAAAAUGUAAUUUAGCCAAUAACAAUCAAGAAAUCGAACCCACAGUUUUUAAAAAAUGCUGGAGGCCUUUUAUUAUUCUUUUUAUGAAAGGAGCCUGGUGCAUAUAUGAAUGUGGGCUGCAUUUUGCCCACCGGCUGGACUUUGGACAUGCCUGAUCUAAACAGUUGUUUAACACCCAGUGGAAUUCGUUUUAAAUAUGCUAAAGUUUCACUUUUGAAUUUUCUGUCUUGUUUGCACAGGAUGGAGGGAAAUCGAGUGACCCACAAAGGUCUGCUGUCACUCAAAAACUUGACCCCAGAGCCUCUAAAAACAGUUGUAGCCAUUUGGAAUGAUUUGUAUAACACAGAUCCAGAGUCUGUAAAUAUCCACGAAAGCAUUACAGUGAAUUUCACAGAUGAUGACAUGUGGGAGGCGUGGGGAGAGUGGGUAUUUAAACGUUGUGAGGUCAGCGGCAAUGAGAAGUUAGUGACGGUGCUCCACAAAGUUUGCAACAUAUCAGCACAAUGCUUAGAAUGUCGGUGGGCAAAGGCUUUCUACAGAAAACUGUCAGAACUCAUCAAGAACAGAAUGGAAAGCUGCGUUGAGGAUGACAUGUGGAAGAAACUCAAAAAGUUUGACAGCCUUUUCAUCUGAUUGGAAAGAGCUGCAAGGAUGUGCAAAUGGGAUGUGUUAUAUGUUGUAUAUGCUUAUAUUUUAGUUUACUGUUUGGUUAAAGUUUUAAAAAGUUAUAUUUAACAUAAUGGGGAUGCUCAAAACACAACAGGGGUUCUUUAUUUUCAGGUUAAAUAUUUUGAUGACAAUUUCUCUUGAGGUAAAGUUUGGUGUCCUGAAGUAUCUUUGAUUAGCUCCACUUAAUCAUAUAGUAGACAUUGCUGCUAUAACUCCAGGAAAACAUCACGUCAAAAAUAUAAACCAUAUAACCUCAGAUAUUAAUACAAAAAACUUUGGCCCGUACGGGGAUCGAACCCGCGACCUUGGCGUUAUUAGCACCACGCUCUAACCAACUGAGCUAACCGGCCAUGAACGGCCCUGAAACACACAGAAACAAAUUGUUACGAGAUCUCGGGAUAUUAAUGUGUUACUAUUUACUAAUAUUAUUAUUGUUGUUUUUUUAACCGUCUUAAUAGGUAGAUUGACCAUGCCACUUAUCGAAACUAGUUACUUGUGUCAAAUAAAGACAUGGUAGCUCAGUUAACACAAAAAAGAGGACAAAAAAA
This 1477-nucleotide transfer RNA is filed under the name Oryzias sinensis (Chinese medaka). Its description in RNAcentral is "lncRNA (ENSOSIG00000017672.1)". Lineage: Eukaryota; Metazoa; Chordata; Actinopteri; Beloniformes; Adrianichthyidae. The record is from RNAcentral.